Gastrolobium bilobum is the source of this 668-nucleotide long non-coding RNA. RefSeq lists it as uncharacterized. NCBI's taxonomy places the organism in Eukaryota, Viridiplantae, Streptophyta, Magnoliopsida, Fabales, Fabaceae. The record is from RefSeq and is a predicted model, not a curated record. The transcript has 4 exons.
GAAGGCCAAACAUGCAUAAAAACAAAGGGCAAGCCUAGAACUUGGAUUAUUAGCCACUUUUUCUCUUGAAUGUCUUCACGAAACUUCAAGCUUAUGGCCUUGUAAACAUAUCCAUAGGUGUAGUUGUUUGAGAGAAGCUUUUUACGUUGAGUUUUCUGCCUCCUUGUCAUUUGAACGACUUGCUGCCCAAGGGAGUUUAAUGGUGUUUCGUCCAUUAUUGAAGGUUAGAAAGUGUUGAGGAGGUGUGAAGGAGACUAAAUAAGGUUGCCUCCCACGGAUGUGAUCCUUGAAGAUUGAGCUUGGUGGAUUGUCUUUGGUCCUUGACCAAAAGGAUUUGGGCAUUUCUGAGUGGACGAAGUUACGGUAAAACUUGCAUUGGAGCUACCUAGCUUGGGAGCUUCAAUAAGAGCAUACGAUUGGUUGCAGCAAAGUGAAGCAAGCACUGGAGCUCUUCCAAAGCAAAAAAACUCUAAGGCAACUUAAUACCAAGGAGUAAUGGGUACCUUGCUGGAUUAUGAUGUUACUAAUGAAGAUCUUUCAAUAAUACUCUUAUUUCCCUUGUCUUGAUGGUGGUUUAAAGAUUUUUAGAUAUAUGACAUUCUCUUGUAGACUUUAUUUCAACUUUCAGUAAUUGUAUUUUUCUUAUUUUCUCCAUUUCUUUGACUCUA